UCUUCUUCCUCAUUCCUAUCUUUGAUUAAUUUCUUUCUCCUUCAACCUCCACCGUUCCCAUUUUCGGUUAUCGGCGUACCCCUGCAUCAAUUUGGGCCAAAUUACAGAGCCCAUUAAAUCCGGGCCUUCGGUGGGAAAAAAGCUGGAGUUGGGCCUGUGGUUCGGUCCAUUGUGGCAUUAAGGCCCAAGUAUUGACUAGGGCUCACAUAGAUCACUUGCGAAUUGAUUCCGUCCAUUUUGUUUCAACUGAACAUUUGCAACGCACGUGGUUAAUAAACGUCAGCUGAUUUUACAUUCUUCCAGCUUUUUCUUUCUUCUCCGGCCGUUGCUGAUUCCUCUCCUCAUUGCUCCGGUCGCCGUUUCAAUGGACGGGCUUAAGGUUUCCGAUGCUAAUAUGGUUGUUUACGUUCACCCAUCCAAAAGUAAGAAGGUUUCACAAGCGGUGCUUCGAGUGCUCGGCGCUAUGCUUCUAAAAUUUGAUGAAAAAUUUGAAGGUGUGCUACUGGCUUAUGAGGCCAAAAUUAUCGAUAAAAUUGCGAAGAUUCUAUCUGGAGUGCAUCCCUAUUUUGGCGUGACAAUAAAGGCAAAGCUAUUACUUUUCUCUCCAAAGCCAAACAUGCUUGUACUUCAUUGCAUUAUGAUGGUAGACAUAUUAAAAGGACUAAUGGGAGGCCAAAUGUUCUAUUUCUCUCCUUGUCCAUGCUUUGCUGAUAGUUUUGUUAUCACUUCAGAGGGAAAGGUGGUGAAGCUUAGGCAGGAAUCAAUCCAUGUUAUUGUCUUAGGUUUUGCUUCUGCUGUAAUAACCAAUGAAGACAUUCGCGACGAAUUCAAGCAUAGAACAAAACAUGGAGAAGAAAUGUUUGUCAGCCGAGCUCACAAGCACCAUGUAAUAAAGGUUGGGACAAUGAUACGAUUUUUGGUGAAGAGUUUUGAUGAGGAAAUAUUGCAUAUCGCUGGAUCUCUAGUUCCAUCUCACACGGGAAGCAUCCAUUGGUUGGAGAAGAAUUCGGUUGAGGGUACAGUAACUAGUAGUAGUAAAAAGAAGAUGAGAGAAAAUGAGGGGGAGGUGAUGUUGCAGGAUAGCGUUGCCACCGAGGUAAAUGCACUUAUCUUGAACAAUGACCAUCAGUCGAAAACGAAAAAGCAAAAAACUACCAGAAUAUCUUGAAGACUGCUAAUUGUCAUACAACAUAGAUCGUUUUUGUAUCAGGGUGGUGAUGAUUCAAACUUCGAAGUGGAGAUCCUCAUUGUUUUCCAAUUGUAAGAAAGGAUUGGGAGAUGCAUCUUGCUGUUGGGAAAACCACCUCCACGUUGAUAAUGACAACUUUUAUACAUCAGGGUGUGACAAAUGCAGCUGCCCACUUUUGUAACUUCUAUGAAGAGAUAGCCCAAAUCCAUGUAUUAUGGGCUUAGGCCCAAUAGACCUUGGAGCUGCAAAUAAUUCAUCAUCUUCUUCAUCAUUAUAAGGGUUUUGAAGAUCUUCAAAAGAUAUGCGGUGAAGAUAUGAUUAAAUUUCAAUUGCAGAAAUGAUUCUGAUAAACCAUCCUCUCUUUGUCAGAACGGUACUCUUGCACGUUCUUAGACUUCAUUUUUUUUUCCCUUGUUUAGAACCUGCAAACUAAACUUGCCAAAUCAAACCCUCUUUCGUCUUUUUAUAUUAAAUUGGUAUUAAUGAUUGAAAGGGGGUUUAACGUUUAAGAGACCAAGUCUUUAUUCGAAGAUAUUGUAAGGUCUGUUAUGGAAAUCUUAUAGUUGGUGAAUUUGAAUGCGAUGUUC
Non-coding RNA from Benincasa hispida (wax gourd), 1776 nucleotides. The record is from RefSeq and is a predicted model, not a curated record. Lineage: Eukaryota; Viridiplantae; Streptophyta; Magnoliopsida; Cucurbitales; Cucurbitaceae.